CUUCCGGCCGCCAGGCGAGACUCCGCGGGAAAACUCCCUGCUAGAGAGACUAGGAGAUUUGGGGCUGCGGCCGUUUCCUCCGGAGCACCCACGGGACUGUGUGCUGGGGUCCCUCCACCGGCUGUGUCCUUUAUUCUUCUUUCUCACCCAACGAUUUACCUGAACGGUUAUAAAGUGCACGUUAUUUCCCUAAGCACUUUGAGUAUAUUGGCCCACUGCAU
RNAcentral lists this long non-coding RNA (221 nucleotides) under Homo sapiens (human). RNAcentral describes it as "non-protein coding lnc-DHX38-27:4". Lineage: Eukaryota; Metazoa; Chordata; Mammalia; Primates; Hominidae. The record is from RNAcentral.